AUUUCCUCCUCCUGAUUCCUCCCUUGUGGCUUCACCUCCUUUCAGCCCCACGGAGCGCGAGCGGACGGAGCGGCUGAUCAAGACCAAACUGAGAGAGAUCAUGAUGCAGAAGGAUCUGGAGAACAUCACGUCCAAGGAGAUCCGCACGGAGCUGGAGAUGCAGAUGGCAUGCAACCUGCGUGAAUUUAAGGAAUUCAUUGACAACGAAAUGAUCGUCAUUCUGGGCCAGAUGGACAGCCCCACGCAGAUCUUCGACCACGUCUUCCUGGGUUCGGAAUGGAACGCCUCCAAUUUGGAAGAUUUGCAAACCAGAGG
Notechis scutatus (mainland tiger snake) is the source of this 315-nucleotide non-coding RNA. NCBI's taxonomy places the organism in Eukaryota, Metazoa, Chordata, Lepidosauria, Squamata, Elapidae. The record is from RefSeq and is a predicted model, not a curated record.